Molecule: ribosomal RNA, 505 nt
Filed under: uncultured bacterium
Lineage: Bacteria
Description: bacterial SSU rRNA
Rfam family: Bacterial small subunit ribosomal RNA
Source: RNAcentral
GAUGAACGCUAGCUACAGGCUUAACACAUGCAAGUCGAGGGGAAACGAUAGAGAAAGCUUGCUUUUUCUAGGCGUCGACCGGCGCACGGGUGAGUAACGCGUAUCCAACCUGCCCAUCACUUGGGGAUAACCUUGCGAAAGUAAGACUAAUACCCAAUGACGUCUCUAGAAGACAUCUGAAAGAGAUUAAAGAUUUAUCGGUGAUGGAUGGGGAUGCGUCUGAUUAGCUUGUUGGCGGGGGUAACGGCCCACCAAGGCGACGAUCAGUAGGGGUUCUGAGAGGAAGGUCCCCCANAUUGGAACUGAGACACGGUCAAACUCCUACGGGAGGCAGCAGUGAGGAAUAUUGGUCAAUGGACGAGAGUCUGAACCAGCCAAGUAGCGUGCAGGAUGACGGCCCUAUGGGUUGUAAACUGCUUUUAUAAGGGAAUAAAGUGAGUCUCGUGAGACUUUUUGCAUGUACCUUAUGAAUAAGGACCGGCUAAUUCCGUGCCAGCAGCCGCGG